ACAAAGUAAGAAGACUGUUCACCCCAUAAGACAACUUCGCUACUUGAGCUUGAAUAUUUGUAUGACUACGUUUGAGGGAUGUAAUUUUACAUUAGUAGAGACUUUGAGUGCCAAUUUUCUAUCUGCUCAAGUACAGUUCUUGGUUACUUUAUGUGCUGCAUUAUACUGUUUCUAAGAUAAACCUGUGUGUCCCUGAGAGGACAGUCCAAUGUUAUAGGCUUGGGAUCUCUAUUAAGGGCUCGCAUGUACAAAUUGUGCUGGUUUUGGUGGAGAACUACCUCUGCUGUGUAGUUUCAUUCAGUAAUAUAAAUUUCUGUUGUACCCAAAAA
Molecule: unclassified non-coding RNA, 329 nt
Filed under: Hevea brasiliensis (rubber tree)
Lineage: Eukaryota; Viridiplantae; Streptophyta; Magnoliopsida; Malpighiales; Euphorbiaceae
Source: RNAcentral